Molecule: long non-coding RNA, 1898 nt
Organism: Carassius auratus (goldfish)
Lineage: Eukaryota; Metazoa; Chordata; Actinopteri; Cypriniformes; Cyprinidae
Exons: 6
Source: RefSeq, a predicted model, not a curated record
GGGAGUUGCCAUGGAAACGGAGCGCUAACACAACAACUGACAAGCAGGGAUUCACUGACUUUUGCUGCUGUUUUCAAAGCUUUCGCCUUUCAGGAGAGGAAAAAACCUCAGCAACAGGGGAAGCUCCAAGAUUUAGCUAUUUCUGAAGGCAGAAGAACUGGGAAAGCUUCUUUUUUUAAGAAGGCUUUGACAUCCAUAACUGUAGUGAGCAGGCUUGGUUCAUCCACCUGUUAUUUGGAGAAGCAUGCACAAGCUCUCAGUCCAGUCUGUUUUUUCACCUUGCCGUUCUCCGGUGGCUUUUUACCCAAUCUCUCCACACCAGUUACUGCAUCAGACACAGUUACUAGACAUUACGCCAGUUCCAGUUUGAAUCCAGCCUUCAGAAGAUGCUAACACUCACUAUGACUUCAGAAGAUGCUAAGACUCACGAUGACUUCAGAUGAUGACAACUAAAGAUGAACAUACAAGUCUGCCAAAUAUUAUCCUUAUAUUGUGAUCAUUGCCCUAAAAAGUAAGUUCACAGAUUGUUAACCAGCUUUCUAUUGUUACAGUGUUGGUAAUAUAUGUAAAUUAACAAUGAUUACAUGUUCUCUGAAUUACAUGUACCAAAAUAUCACCAUUUAUUUGGAGGCAGAACUUUGGCAGAUGAUGCAAAAGGUUGACUUCAUGUCUCACUUGUGUGUCCUGUGAGGAACUUCUCAACAAAUUCACUUCACAGCGCAUCAAUGGAAGGCUUUCCUAUGUAACAAACACGGUUUUCCACUCUUGUAUUUAUCCAUAUCAGGUUUUCUGGGAUCCCACUUGAAGACAUCAGAACAUCAGAUGUUGGUCUGGACAGCUGCACCUACAGUACAUCACACUGACCUCUCUGCUUUUGCACAGAUAGCUGACUACUACCAUGUUCUGUGAAGGUAUUAUUAUAGCAAAACUGAUCACCUGUGACAGUGGAAUCUGCAGCUGUAAAAGUAGCAAAUGCAUAUCAGUAAACUGAAGUCACAAAAGUUUUUUUAGGAGUUGCAAAUGUUUUAUUUACUCGUUCUUUCUCAUAAACACAACACAAGAGUAACCAUUUCAAAUUCUGAGGUGCACAAAUCAUAUUCUACAAAUCACAAAAUAAAGAAACCAUAUGCUCACAGUUUGGACAGAGCUGCUGUAGUGAAUGUGGGGCAAAACACAGGUCUGUUUUCAGUUUCGAUUUACUGUCAAAGCUGUGCUAGUGUCACUUUAAUUUGCAUUUGGGAAUUCGACAUUCAUAAUUAGAAUCGUUUAUAAAUCUGUUGUUGUUUACAGAAAGAAGUUUCAGUGUCACAUGAUCAUUCAGAAAUCAUUCUAAUAUGCUGAUUUGCUGCUCAAGAAGCAUUAACUAUUUAUUAUUAGCAAUAUUAAAAACAGUUUUUGCUGGUUAACUUUUUUGUGGAAACAAUGAUACCACUCAAAAAUUUGUAGAAAGAUUUAAAAAGAGAGAGAAAAAAAUAAUUUAAUUCAUCAUAUUGUACAUUGAAGUGCUGAAAAGUGAGUGAAGACAUUUAAAAUGUUUCAAAAGAUUUAUAUUUAAUAAAUGCUUUAACAAAUUUAAUAAAUAUAUUUGAUACAUGCAAAUAAAUACUGUUCAAUGAACUUUCUAUUUAUCAAAGAAUCCUGAAAAAUACAAUGUAUCAGCAUUUCCACACAAAAUAUGAAGCAGCAAAACGUACUCGGUUACUAACGUAACCUCGGUUCCCUGAAAUACGGAAGGAGCACUGCGUUCCUUGCCGUGCUAAAAAGCUUUACAAUUCAGUCGAAGUAACCUGAAUUCCUGUGUCGAAGCGGCCAAUAUAUAUAGCAUCUUAGACGCAGUACGAGUGAAGUAUUGAAAGGGAAAUGUUUUUAACAUUGAUAAUUAUCAGAAAUAUUUAUUA